This 505-nucleotide ribosomal RNA is filed under the name Bacillus subtilis. Its description in RNAcentral is "bacterial SSU rRNA". It matches the Rfam family "Bacterial small subunit ribosomal RNA", at positions 90 to 580 of the family's 1533-position model. Lineage: Bacteria; Bacillati; Bacillota; Bacilli; Caryophanales; Bacillaceae. The record is from RNAcentral.
UGUUAGCGGCGGACGGGUGAGUAACACGUGGGUAACCUGCCUGUAAGACUGGGAUAACUCCGGGAAACCGGGGCUAAUACCGGAUGGUUGUUUGAACCGCAUGGUUCAAACAUAAAAGGUGGCUUCGGCUACCACUUACAGAUGGACCCGCGGCGCAUUAGCUAGUUGGUGAGGUAACGGCUCACCAAGGCAACGAUGCGUAGCCGACCUGAGAGGGUGAUCGGCCACACUGGGACUGAGACACGGCCCAGACUCCUACGGGAGGCAGCAGUAGGGAAUCUUCCGCAAUGGACGAAAGUCUGACGGAGCAACGCCGCGUGAGUGAUGAAGGUUUUCGGAUCGUAAAGCUCUGUUGUUAGGGAAGAACAAGUACCGUUCGAAUAGGGCGGUACCUUGACGGUACCUAACCAGAAAGCCACGGCUAACUACGUGCCAGCAGCCGCGGUAAUACGUAGGUGGCAAGCGUUGCCCGGAAUUAUUGGGCGUAAAGGGCUCGCAGGCGGUU